Molecule: ribosomal RNA, 253 nt
Filed under: uncultured bacterium
Lineage: Bacteria
Description: partial 16S ribosomal RNA
Rfam family: Bacterial small subunit ribosomal RNA
Source: RNAcentral
UACAGAGGGUGCAAGCGUUAAUCGGAAUUACUGGGCGUAAAGCGUGCGUAGACGGUUAUUUAAGUCAGGUGUGAAAGCCCCGGGCUCAACCUGGGAAUUGCAUUUGAGACUGAAUAGCUAGGGUGCGGAAGAGGGAAGCGGAAUUUCCGGUGUAGCGGUGAAAUGCGUAGAUAUCGGAAGGAACACCAGUGGCGAAAGCGGCUUCCUGGUCCAGCACCGACGUUCAGGCACGAAAGCGUGGGGAGCAAACGGG